UAUCUCUGUAGAGUCUGCAUAUCAAUAAGCGGAGGAAAAGAAACUAACAAGGAUUCCCUUAGUAACGGCGAGUGAAGCGGGAAGAGCUCAAAUUUGAAAUCUUCAAGGUUCUACCUUGACGAAUUGUAGUUUAAAGAAGUGUUUUCUGUUAGAUGAGUAGCAAAAGUUCCUUGGAAUGGGACAUCAUAGAGGGUGAGAAUCCCGUAUUUGGUUAUUCAUUCUAGCUUUGCGAUACACUUUCAAAGAGUCGGAUUGUUUGGGAAUGCAGUCCAAAAUGGGUGGUAAAUUUCAUCUAAAGCUAAAUAUUGGCGAGAGACCGAUAGCGAACAAGUACCGUGAGGGAAAGAUGAAAAGAACUUUGAAAAGAGAGUUAAACAGUACGUGAAAUUGUCAAAAGGGAAGCGUUUGACACCAGUGUUGUUUUUCCGAAAAUCAAUUACGAAUGGCUUGAUUCUGUGUUGUAUUGACCUUAUCAGCUUUCUUCACUUUUUUCGAGUCUUUCUUAAUGCACUUUUCGGUUAACAAGUCAACAUCAAUUUCUUUUGUUGUAAAAGAGUAUUCGGAAGGUGGCUUUCUUUUCGGAGGAAGUGUUUAUAGCCCUAUACUUCUACAAUCGGAGAGAUUGAGGUCUGCAGCGUAGAUCCUUCGGGGUUAGAUACACUUGUGCUAAGUUGUAGCUUUUCAUAGACAACUUGUUGACUAUGUUUAGUCAUGCGGCUUACUCGCUUGUGCUAUUUUACCUACGCUUAGGAUGUUGAUCUGUAGUGCGUGCGC
This 774-nucleotide ribosomal RNA is filed under the name uncultured Neocallimastigales. RNAcentral describes it as "partial large subunit ribosomal RNA". It matches the Rfam family "Eukaryotic large subunit ribosomal RNA", at positions 24 to 647 of the family's 3401-position model. Lineage: Eukaryota; Fungi; Neocallimastigomycota; Neocallimastigomycetes; Neocallimastigales. The record is from RNAcentral.